This 182-nucleotide small RNA is filed under the name Herbaspirillum sp. RNAcentral's name for it is "Manganese sequence". It matches the Rfam family "Manganese Mn2+ riboswitch aptamer (yybP-ykoY)". From Rfam's summary of the family: This RNA was originally discovered in E. coli during a large scale screen and was named SraF. The record is from RNAcentral. Lineage: Bacteria; Pseudomonadati; Pseudomonadota; Betaproteobacteria; Burkholderiales; Oxalobacteraceae.
CCACCCGUCAUUGGGGAGUAGCCGCCCUCCGAAUUGCGAGAGGGGCUUGCGUCAACAGACUUGAUCCAUCCGCGAUCAUGGCGCAAGCGACUUCAGGUUUGGCGAGACCUUUGACCAUGCCGCCUCUGCGUUGGGCCGGAGGGCGCGCAUGGUCAUCGGUUCAUGUCCGGCCCUGGAGUGUU